Molecule: ribosomal RNA, 478 nt
Filed under: uncultured bacterium
Lineage: Bacteria
Description: partial 16S ribosomal RNA
Rfam family: Bacterial small subunit ribosomal RNA
Source: RNAcentral
GACGAACGCUGGCGGCGUGCUUAACACAUGCAAGUCGAACGGUAAGGCCCUUCGGGGUACACGAGUGGCGAACGGGUGAGUAACACGUGGGUGAUCUGCCCUGCACUUCGGGAUAAGCCUGGGUAACUGGGUCUAAUACCGGAUAGGACCACUGCCUGCAUGGGUGGUGGUGGAAAGCUUUUGCGGUGUGGGAUGGGCCCGCGGCCUAUCAGCUUGUUGGUGGGGUGAUUGCCUACCAAGGCGACGACGGGUAGCCGGCCUGAGAGGGUGACCGGCCACACUGGGACUGAGAUACGGCCCAGACUCCUACGGGAGGCAGCAGUGGGGAAUAUUGCACAAUGGGCGCAAGCCUGAUGCAGCGACGCCGCGUGAGGGAUGACGGCCUUCGGGUUGUAAACCUCUUUCAGCACCGACGAAGCGCAAGUGGCGGUAGGUGCAGAAGAAGGACCGGCCAACUACGUGCCAGCCGCCGCGGUAA